Long non-coding RNA from Oreochromis niloticus (Nile tilapia), 1603 nucleotides. RefSeq lists it as uncharacterized. The transcript has 4 exons. Lineage: Eukaryota; Metazoa; Chordata; Actinopteri; Cichliformes; Cichlidae. The record is from RefSeq and is a predicted model, not a curated record.
UCUCUUUUCUUUAAUUUUCAGGAAUAAUGUGUGAAACCACUUCUACAUAAAUAAAAAGCAUUUGGACUCAAGCUGACCUCUGGCCUGAGGGAAGAAAAUGCUUCCCUCAUUCAUAACAUACUUUGCAUUCAGCCUGUGGCUGUCAUCUUCCCUCAGCAGUGUUGAGAGCUUCCUCCUGCUCUUUAUUCCUCUUUUCCCAAUUGUCUUCAGCCUUCUUCCUGCGCCGUUCACAGUUUGAGUUAGUGGUUCCAGAAACAUUCAACUGUUUAGUACCAAAGCUAAGUGCAACUUUUGGACCCGCAAUCAUACGCAGAGCUUGUUAAAGUGGAAACAAGACAAGGCUUCCCACUGCAGAUCACUGCUAUGACAACUAUGUCAAGACAGGUCUGGGGAGGGAUGUGUCAGGCUUGCAAAGCAAACUACUCGAGAUGGCAGGAAUUCCACCAAGGCAGCAGGCGGAGGCGUUACGUGCCAAACCCUCCAGAAAGAAGCAAAUAAACAUUACAGUCUGACAAAUCUAAGGUUUUGGAAGAUCUUUCUGGGCGAUAUCAACAUGGCUGUCAAGAUGAGACAGACACUCUGAAGAUGCUGUGAUCUUCACAUUGUUUAGUGAGAUUAAAGUGAGGGAAAGAAAAUGGAGCCAGCUGUGUUGUUGAAACAUGUGGCUGUAUGGUGGUAGGUUUGCCUGCCAGCAAUGAAAUGUCCUAUUGCUACACAGAUCAAGAGACAGGAAACACUAACAGCAUCAGUAUGGAAAAUUAAUAAUUUAUCUGCUUCUGCAACACUGAUAACAUAAAGCAUUGCUGUUGUAUGCAUUUUAUGCAACGCGAACUGUACGGAGCUGUGGCAACAGACAGAUACAAUAUAAAACACAAACAUCAUUAGAAAACAUUCCAGCGAUACCGCAGUCUGACACAAUAUCUCUGCUGCUUUCUGACUCCCCUACAGAUUCACAGCAUACCAAAGAACAUGGGCAGAUGUUCUGCAUUAUCACAUGAAGCUACACUUUAGCUCUACCCCGUAAAAGCUGUGCAGAGAUAAUAAGGAGCCCAGUUUUCAGACUGUUUUUUUCCCUCCUGAUCAGAUUUGAAUUAUAGCCUCCAAAGACUGAUAAAAGCAUGGGGGUGUGCUCACAAUUUGACUGGGAAUAUAUUGACAGUAGUGUUAAUUGCACAUUUUAUCCUGAAUUGAUCUAAGAAAAACUAAGAUGUGGAUAACUGUGAGAUAAUUUUUAAAAUACCAGCUAUAAAAAAAGCAAAACACAAGAGCUACAGGGAACAAAUUGGAUAAUUAUAGAAAUCAAACGUAAUAACCAUUUUAGAGGAGAAAUUUAUGUUUUCACUAAGCAGGUGACAGCAUGCAUGAUGAAGCCUGACGGGUGAGGUGAGGGUUAAAGACUUUAAUGUGCACGUGAACAGCUUACCAACUUCUCUGGGGAUGAGUAUCCUUUUAUUACAAUAAAAACUCAUAUUUCAUCAGUAGUGUUGCAGUUUACAUGUUUGCUUUGGAAUCAAAACAGCAUUGACUCAGUCCUGAGAGAAGACAUAAAUCCAACUGGAGUUGUGUUAGGAAAGGCAUCCACCAUUAAAAAAAAAGAAAAUCU